RNAcentral lists this long non-coding RNA (227 nucleotides) under Phaseolus vulgaris (common bean). RNAcentral describes it as "long non-coding RNA (PVUL_LNC001661)". Lineage: Eukaryota; Viridiplantae; Streptophyta; Magnoliopsida; Fabales; Fabaceae. The record is from RNAcentral.
UGGCAUUUCAUGAAGGUCUUCUUGAAUCAUGUAAGAAAAAGUGGUGCGGAAGCUAUAAAGGUGUGUGAGCAAGAUCCUCCUAAGAGUGGUGUUGAUCUUGAAGGUGCAUGAUGUGUAUGAAGCUAGGGAGGUUCGGCCAACCCAAGGAGAGGUGAAGGAGAUGAAGUUUAGAGCCUAGAAUUCUAGGGAGAAGCAAAGCUUGGCACAAAAUGGCAGCAUAACUUUAC